Ictidomys tridecemlineatus (thirteen-lined ground squirrel) is the source of this 2805-nucleotide non-coding RNA. NCBI's taxonomy places the organism in Eukaryota, Metazoa, Chordata, Mammalia, Rodentia, Sciuridae. The record is from RefSeq and is a predicted model, not a curated record.
CAGGUGCCAUCUCUAUGCCCUCCCACCCAGUGCUUAGACUGUGGGCCAUUUGAUGACAGCUCUUUGAAAAUUAACUCAGAGUUUUAUUCAUCCUUAAAUUCUUUAAAGCUGCAGAUCAAACAGUCGCUGGUGCUGGCUCUUGUGUUGCCGAUGACGGUGCUUGUUUGCAUACCAAGCAGACCUUUCUCUCUCCCCCGGAAAAUGAAUUUCUUUUGGACUUGGUGCUCUAAUUGCCUGGGCAGCAGAGGCAGGCAAACAUCUUCCCCUCCUGAUUUGCAUUAUGCAAAACCCUAAUCUCCCAAGUUUCCUAAAGCCUUGAAGAGCGGAGGCUCCACAGCCCUCGGUGCCAGGAAGCGCACUGCUUGAUCUGCCACCCGGUGUCACCGCAGUGCCCUCAAACACACCCGCGGCGUCCACUCUCCAGUGGAGGUGACCCUCAGCCCACCGCCUCGGGUCUGCAAGUCCAGUUGCUGCCUGCGACUCCCUUUAGGUCAGUAAACUUUUGCCCAAAGGCCCACAUAAUAAGUAUUUUAGGCUUCCUGGUCCCAGGUCUCUGGGGCAACCCAUCGCUCCCACCCUGGUGUGACAGCAGCCCUACGCGGGCCACGUCUGGACACGUGGGCAGGACGGUGGCGCUGAGAGAAAGCAGUUUCCAUAAACGGCUCGGCAGCUCUCACCCCAGCCUCAGGCCGUCUCUGCCUCUCCCUUUUCCACCCUCCGCCGAUGACCACAUGGAGCCAAGGCGAGGCCUCUGCUGUUAGAAUGAUUGGCCUCCUCUCCCGGCUGGACCCGAGCUCAUCCAGAAACGGGAACCAGGGGAGGCAUCGAGACUUUCUGAAGACGGUACGGUGGCCCAGGCGGGGUCAGCAUGGGACAGCCAGCUGGCUGUUCUUCUGUCCAUUUGGACAGAAGUUAAAUCAGCAAAGUGCAGCUCCCCGAGCCUCAGCCGCUCUCCCUCCCUAGUGGUGGCAGCUCUCCUGGCUGCUCUCGAGCAGCUGGAGCCCACGGUACCAGGACGAGGGGACUCUUCCUGCAGCUGGAGCCCAAGGUCCGGGCAGCUACCGGCUGCUCUCCUGUGCUCCCUGCCGACCCCUGGCUGCCAGCCACCCUCGUAGGUACCGGCUCUCAGUGUGACCAGGUGGCCUGCUCUUCUCAAGACAGAGAUCACAAUCAGGCAAAUAACCCACUGAGGUGUCGGGGUAAGUGCCCGAGGACUGACCUGGGAGGGAGAGCUGCUCAUGUGGAUUAAAAUGGCGGCUCAGGAUGUGCAGCGUCCCGCAGGCUAGAGCCGCAGACUUUCUGCUCAUUCGUGGGAAGGGGAUGAGAGUGGGACGUCUGAAGCAGCUCAGGGGGCUAGAGCCAUCCAGAGAGGCCAUGGGCAGACUCAUCUGGAUGGACACAAAGCCAAUGUCCGUGGCUGCAGGCGCCUGGGCCACAGAGCUCCCCGAGACAGAGGAAGGGAGAGUGCACGGUGCCUGUGGGGAGCCCUGGGCGGCUGGAGGCAGGACGGGGACUGUGUGCUGUGGCUGGGACAGGAAGGCACAGCUGCGCUCCAGGAAAACGACACGUCCCCAGGUCUGACGCUGCGUGGGAGGCGUCGGGUGGGGUGGGGGUGCUCGACCACAAAUAGCGCGUCUGGGACAGCGGCCACAAUUGACGUCACCACCUGGUUAUAGGUAAGGUCACUCUGCACCCCAAGUUAGAGGGGAUGAGACACCCCUCCUGCACCCCUCGAGUCUCCGAGGCUGGGAGUCCCACACUCCCUCCCAGCUGCCCUCCUGGCUGGGGACUCCACUUGGACUUUACCCCGAGAUUCUUCCUGUUGCCAAGAAACUGGUGGGUGGGACCCCAGACCUACCGGCCCACUGUGACUUGAACGUGGGUCAACGUCGCGUCCAUCGCCCCACCUCGGUAGAGAGACUGGGCACGGGCUAUGGCUCUUCACUGUGGUGGCCCUGGCCACUGGGUCUGGAGGUUUUCUAAUAGGUGGAUCCAGUUGCCUUUGGACAGACUCUGCUCACUUUGUUCCUAAGGUCACCUUGAUGAUCACUCCAUUGCAAAAGGUCCCCUGAGGUCUGACCUUCGGUUCUGCUGGCUCCAUCGUCCCAGGGACGACUUCUGUCCUCCUGGAGAGCAGGGCAAGUUCUCUCCCGGUCAGAAACCAAGGCCGUCCUAGUGACCGACAGCUGCAGGACUCAAGCUGCUGGGUCCCCCGUCCUAGCACUGUCUCAGGCUGGAUUUGGCCACAAAUAAACACAACAAUGCAAAAAAAGAUGAAUUUUAUGCAACGGAUCAAAGUGGGGAGAAGCCGGGAGAGAGCAGGCUGACUUAACCAGGGGACAGGUCGGCCCCAGCGCCCAGCCUGGCCAGCGGUGGUUCCUCAGUUUCCAUUCUCCACGUGACCAGAAGUGUGAGCAGGAGUUGUUUGUAGUUUUAAAGGGGCUGUGUUAGCGCCUCACCGGGCCCCCGGGCCUCCACCCUCCACGAGGAGGCAGCUCCUCCCCAGACAUCCUCGCCGCUCAGUGGCCACACAGGUAACCGUGGGAGCUGGGCACGGGUGGCACCAACCCCAUAGCCACUCUCAGCCUGAGCCCCACACAGCCCCCCUGCAGCCAAGUCAGACAGCGGGGCGUUUCAGAGGCCGGGCGCCCCUGGCCCCGACACCAAUCCUGAAGGAUCCAAGCCAUAGUUCUCCACCGAAUCAGACCCCGUGACCUUCCCAAGAAGAAUGUGCUUAAUGAUCUCUUUCCUGCCCCGAAGUGAGAGUCAUAAAUAACUGACCCAUAAUAUCCCACACCUACUUAA